GAUCCUGGCUCAGAUUGAACGCUGGCGGCAUGCUUUACACAUGCAAGUCGGACGGCAGCAUCAAGAAGCUUGCUUCUUGGAUGGCGAGUGGCGAACGGGUGAGUAAUGCAUCGGAAUGUACCGAGUAAUGGGGGAUAACUAAUCGAAAGAUUAGCUAAUACCGCAUACGACCUGAGGGUGAAAGCAGGGGAUCUUCGGACCUUGCGUUAUUCGAGCAGCCGAUGUCGGAUUAGGUAGUUGGUGGGGUAAAGGCCUACCAAGCCGACGAUCCGUAGCGGGUCUGAGAGGAUGAUCCGCCACAUUGGGACUGAGACACGGCCCAAACUCCUACGGGAGGCAGCAGUGGGGAAUUUUGGACAAUGGGGGCAACCCUGAUCCAGCCAUGCCGCGUGUCUGAAGAAGGCCUUCGGGUUGUAAAGGACUUUUGUACGGGAAGAAAAGGGAAAUGCUAAUAUCAUUUUCUGCUGACGGUACCGUAAGAAUAAGCACCGGCUAACUACGUGCC
Molecule: ribosomal RNA, 505 nt
Filed under: uncultured bacterium
Lineage: Bacteria
Description: bacterial SSU rRNA
Rfam family: Bacterial small subunit ribosomal RNA
Source: RNAcentral